UAGAUACUCCCUCCGUCCGGAAAUACUUGUCAUAAGAAUUGAUGUAUCUAGAGAUAUUUUAGUUCUAGAUACAUCCCUUUUUAUCCAUUUGUGCGACAAGUAAUACCGGACGGAGCGAGUACUAA
This is a non-coding RNA of Hordeum vulgare subsp. vulgare (domesticated barley), 125 nucleotides long. NCBI's taxonomy places the organism in Eukaryota, Viridiplantae, Streptophyta, Magnoliopsida, Poales, Poaceae. The record is from Rfam.